RNAcentral lists this ribosomal RNA (732 nucleotides) under uncultured bacterium. RNAcentral's name for it is "bacterial SSU rRNA". It matches the Rfam family "Bacterial small subunit ribosomal RNA", at positions 20 to 796 of the family's 1533-position model. The record is from RNAcentral.
UGGCUCAGAUUGAACGCUGGCGGUAUGCUUAAGACAUGCAAGUCGAACGGAAUCUUCGGAUUCAGUGGCGGACGGGUGAGUAACACGUGGGAAUCUACUGAGUAGUGGGGGACAGCCCGGCGAAAGCCGGAUUAAUACCGCAUACGCCCUACGGGGGAAAGGCGCAAGCCGCUAUUUAAUGAGCCCGCGUAAGAUUAGCUAGUUGGUAGGGUAAAGGCUUACCAAGGCAACGAUCUUUAGCUGGUCUGAGAGGAUGACCAGCCACAUCGGGACUGAGACACGGCCCGGACUCCUACGGGAGGCAGCAGUCGGGAAUAUUGGACAAUGGGCGCAAGCCUGAUCCAGCAAUACCGCGUGUGUGAAGAAGGCCUGCGGGUUGUAAAGCACUUUCAGUUGGGAAGAUAAUGACGUUACCAACAGAAGAAGCACCGGCUAACUCCGUGCCAGCAGCCGCGGUAAUACGGAGGGUGCAAGCGUUAAUCGGAAUUACUGGGCGUAAAGCGUGCGUAGGCGGUUUUUUAAGUCAGAUGUGAAAUCCCCGGGCUCAACCUGGGAACUGCAUCUGAUACUGGGAGACUAGAGUGUGGGAGAGGAGAGUGGAAUUUCCGGUGUAGCGGUGAAAUGCAUAGAGAUCGGAAGGAACAUCAGUGGCGAAGGCGACUCUCUGGACCAACACUGACGCUGAGGCACGAAAGCGUGGGUAGCAAACAGGAUUAGAUACCCUGGUAGUCC